CCAGCCAGAUGCUGUGAAGUCUCCAUAAAUCUGUCAGCCGUCCCAGUGCCGCGGGCAGUCACCUGCGGCGCCCCCUUCCCGGCGCUAGAGCGGCCCGCGGAGAGACGCGGAGAAGCAACGGGAAUCUAGCCCGGCAGACUGUACCCGAGGGCUGCCGAAGUCAGACCCAAGCACUACAGGUUGUGCGGAACGCGAGGACCCCUCCCUGUAUCCCCAACCUGGACCGACCCCCGGAAGCCUGCUCCUCCGGGUCUACAGGGAUGAAGGUCAGAGUGUCAAAUUGCAGAUUUUGGAUCCUCAAUAAUGGGCCGCUGUAUUUAACCUCUUCAACUUCUUUUCUCCACUUAUAAGAAGGAACAAAAUAAAAUGUUUUGUGGAAGUUUAUAUUGAAAUGAGGUCAGGUAAACUAAUGACUGCUUGGUAUUUUAUGACAAGUUUUAUAACCUUGGAGUUGCCAUAACUUUCAAACGAUCAUCAAUAAAGUUUUAUUGCAAAAGGGUCGCCAUGUGUCUGAAUGCUUUUGCACAUAGUAAAGCUAUGCUGCCCCAUUGUCGUAGCUCACCAGCCCCUUUUCACCCCAGCCAUAAAGUCCUCUUCUUUUUUAUUGGAGGUUGAAAAGUCCUCGGGUCUGCUCUCCUCCAUCAAGUUGGCAAUGUGGGAACAACACAGAAAUUAAACUACAUGAUUAAAUGAUCGUACACAACCAAAUCUUCAAGAAUAUGUAAUAAGACUGCUUUUUAAUAAUUAUAAAUUUGGAUUUUAAAUGGGUUCCAUUUAAUAAAAUAAAUGACAGUGGGCGGCGGGUGGGAAAGGAGGAAGUCAGAUGAGAGUUUCCUCCAGAAACUUGUGUUUGAAUGUUAGAUAAGACCUAUCAGUCUACCCGAUAUACCCAGAGGGCUGCCAUUAAAUAAUUAGGUGCUUAGGGACCGAUAAUGGUCUCAAGACAAAACAACGAAUUGCUAAAGACUCUUUGAGCUGACCCGAGGAUCUUAAAGAUUUAAGAGGCCUCGCAUUGCGUCCUAACUUGAAUUUUCCCACGGAGGGAAGGGUUGGGCUACAGCUCAUGCUUGCCCGAUUGCUGCCUAACACAUUCCCUAAACGCUCCCUAAAGCCAAACCAAGAACUUCAAGUGUCCACUUCACGGCAUCAGCUGUCAGGUUCAGGUUCGGGUCCGCCUACUCCUUGUCCACUGCCGAAUGCUAUGUGGAAAUGAAGCCGAGAAUAAUGUCCUGCGAUUUAGAUGAAGAGAACAGUAAGAAAGGUAGUAUGAAACGAAGCUUCUACUGACGCGCCCUUCAGACAGGUAUUCCGCAGGCGAGGGUUGUGACCCAGGGAGAGAGUGCGGGAGUGCUAGCAGAGCGGCGGGAGCGGAAGGAGAGGCUGGACGAAAGUUGGAAAAUCAUCCCAUCUCGGGACUUGAGUGCGAGAGCCCGCCCCGGAGUCGGCAAGUCUCCAGGGUUAGAAGGCCCUAGCUCCAAAGUUUUUUGUCCCGGCUCAGGCAGGUCCCCCACCUCUAACCUUCCCCGAUUUGCCUGGUUGCUCUCGGGGAAGGGACUGGUAAAUACCGCCCUCUCCCGGAUUUCCUGAAACUCUCACCAGCGCGCUGAACCCGCUCCUUCCCACGUUCGGCGCCCCGCACUCUGCGUCUGCGCCCACUGCGCGUCACCUUCCCUCCGGCCGAGACCACUAGAGCCCUAGAUCCGGGAUCUGCGGAGGGAACAGGACCUGAGCCCCUGCUGGACCCUGCAACUUGGCUGCGGAGAGCGCGCAGCCACAAGCGCCGUUCCUCACUUGAGGGCUUCGCGAGAGCUGGCUCAGCCCCGCGGGUCCCCGCCAGUCCUCGCCAGCCCUCGCCAGCCCCGGUCGGCCCCACGCUAAGUCCGCAGCAGGCGGGAAACCCCGCAGGCCUUCCCGGACUCACGAACUGCCUACUCCCACCCCUAAAGAGCUCAGACCUGAAGGUGCUCUUAUGGUGCGUGGCCGCAACCCCGGAGUGGAAUGGGUGGGGGGCCUCCAUGGCGAAGGAGACGCCGUGGGCGAAUCGGCUCCCAGCUCGCCCCUCAUGUCCUACAGGUCACUAGCCGAGUCCCUACCCCGGGCGCUCCCAUGAGGCACCAAGAGCAGCCACGGCCCAGGGAAGGGCCUGGGUCUUCACUGCUGGAGCGGGCCCCAGUCGAGGGCGCGCAGGUGUCGGGGUCCCCAGCAACCUCCGUAUGCGCGGAAAGCCGUAAACGGGGUUCUGAGGCCGGCGCCAGGCACAAGGAUCACCCCGCGCCACGGGCCACGGCUCAGAGCGCCCACGAAGCCCGGCUGCCAGGUCCAGGCCGCGGCCGGGCGGGACCCACUCGCUCCCCACGGUGCUGGCGCGGCGGGAGUCGGGCUGGUUAAGGCGGGAGGCCGGCACUGCCACGGGCUGUGGCGCCCCCUCCCGAAGACACCUCGCCGGAAGUGCGGCUCCCGCCUGGCAGGCGCUGAGACUCCUCGGCUGUAGCGCGAAGGCCCCGGUCCGCGCAACUUCCCAUAAUAACGCCGCGAAAUGCCUCCAGAAAUGCCUGUGUGGUAUGGUGUCUGAGCCAAUGGUCGGCAUUCGUCUUCCCCAAGUGCGGAAAAGAG
Molecule: long non-coding RNA, 2613 nt
Organism: Homo sapiens (human)
Lineage: Eukaryota; Metazoa; Chordata; Mammalia; Primates; Hominidae
Source: Ensembl